This 335-nucleotide ribosomal RNA is filed under the name uncultured bacterium. Its description in RNAcentral is "partial 16S ribosomal RNA". It matches the Rfam family "Bacterial small subunit ribosomal RNA", at positions 338 to 670 of the family's 1533-position model. The record is from RNAcentral.
CCUACGGGAGACAGCAGUGAGGAAUAUUGGUCAAUGGGCGCGAGCCUGAACCAGCCAAGUAGCGUGAAGGAUGACUGCCCUACGGGUUGUAAACUUCUGUUAUAAAGGAAUAAAGUGAGGCACGUGUGCCUUUUUGGAUGGACGUUAUGAAUAAGGAUCGGCUAACUCCGUGCCAGCAGCCGCGGUAAGACGGAGGAGCCGAGCGUUAUCCGGAUUUAUUGGGUUUAACGGGAGCGUAGAUGGGUUGUUAAGUCAGUUGUGCAAGUUUGCGGCUCCACCGUAAAAUUGCAAUUGAUACUGGCAGUCUUGCCUACAGUUGCGGUAGGCUGAUUUCG